AAAGUUCUGGGAUUAUAGGCACAAACCACCGCCCCCGAUAUUUGUUCUGAUAUACUCAUCUUUUUCUUCCAAUCUCCAAGGAGUCCCCAGAUCUGGACUAUGAAAUCAAAUAACUGAGUGAACCACAACAGAUUAUUCAAUAAGAUGUUCUGAGCAACCGUUCUUAACUUUAGCUGCACAUUGAAAUCAACUGGGGAGCUUAAAAAAUUAAUAACUGGGUCUCAUCCCCAGAGAUUCUGAUUUACUGGUAUAGGAUGCAGGAUAGGCAGUGGGGAUUUCUAAAAGCUAAUAUAGCAGUAGACAAAGUUGAGAAUCCACACUCUAACGUAAUCAGUACAACGAACACAAUCAGUUUCAAUCAAUGAAACUGAAACAGUGUCAUAAUACUAUUAUAAGACAGCAGAGGGCAGAGUUGGCUUACAUUUAUAUAGAGAUUAAACCAUUUUACAUAGGAAAUAGCAAGUAGUUAAUAAUGUAAUUUUAACUUUGUACUUUGUGGUUGUCUUUUGCCGUAAAGUUUUCCUUCAUUGUUAAAGCAAAAUUACUUUUUGUACAUUGGAAUUUACUGGGAAGCCCCUGAGGGGUGGCUGAUCGAUAAGGUCAUGUAAAAUUUAUUGUCCAAACCAUUACAUUUCUGAGACCGCAAGAGAGUCCUAUUAAUGAUUAUGCCAGGACAACAGGUGCAAGCCUGUUUUGGGCAAACUGGAAUGAACAUAUGGUCACCAUGUCUUAUGUGGGAUCCAGGAGAUGAGCUAGAAUCUGUAACAUAGCUUUAUUCAUUAAAGCAACCAGUAGACUAUGUACUUAUGUUGUGUACUUAUGCUUAUUAAAAUCUUCAGCAUUAUUUUUGCAUAUGCCCCAUCUAUCAUUUUUCAGUAUUGUACUAGGGCUUAUGGGCAAUAGAAGAGAACUUUUUAAAGGAUCAAGCAUCAUACGAUCUAGUUGGAAAGAGAAGACUGAUACAAAACUUUGUUCUGCAGGAAAGCCUUCGCCAUGUGCCAGUGCCAUUACCUUGGACUUCCCAGCCUCCAGAACCAUGAGCCAAAUAAAUUCUGUUUAUUAUAAAUUACCCAGUCCAUGGUAUUCUGUUAUAGCAGCGCAAAAUAAACUAAAGAUUGUUUCUUUCCACAGCCUCAGGUUCCAUCCAGGCAGUGUGAUGGCUUGACAGGUCUUCCCAUUGCUCCUGGGAUGGACUGGUAAGGGGCUGAGCAUGGGUCAGGCAACUCCUCUCCCACACUGGCAAUGGGAUCCCUGAAUGAGCAAAACAGAUCAGCUGUGCCAGUUUUGCAUAAAAGGAACAGUUUUUUUUAAACCUUCAUGGCAUAGUUACUUCAUUAUCUGAGUUGUUGAUAAGAAUAUUAUUCAGACCUUGUUUUCCUUUAGUUCACUUCUGUUUUGUUCUUGCCCUCACCAUCCUCUCUAUCAAAGCUUGUUCACAGGUAAGGAUCUCAUAUCUGCUAUUUACAUUUUAGUAUAUUUCUUUAUAACUUUGUUAUUUAUUGUAAAAUAUUCUAUGCUUACAAAACACCCAAGCCUCAUGGAAAAAGAAGAAGGAAGAAUUACUCUAAAUCCCACCAUCUAGAAAUCACUUAGAUAUAAAAUGUUUUAUUUCUUAAUCAAAUAGAAAUUAUUUAGAGCCUACUUAAAAAAAU
Callithrix jacchus (white-tufted-ear marmoset) is the source of this 1652-nucleotide long non-coding RNA. Lineage: Eukaryota; Metazoa; Chordata; Mammalia; Primates; Cebidae. The record is from Ensembl.